This 450-nucleotide ribosomal RNA is filed under the name Cryptosporidium meleagridis. RNAcentral describes it as "SSU rRNA". It matches the Rfam family "Eukaryotic small subunit ribosomal RNA", at positions 546 to 1023 of the family's 1831-position model. Lineage: Eukaryota; Apicomplexa; Conoidasida; Eucoccidiorida; Cryptosporidiidae. The record is from RNAcentral.
AAUUGGAGGGCAAGUCUGGUGCCAGCAGCCGCGGUAAUUCCAGCUCCAAUAGCGUACAUUAAAGUUGUUGCAGUUAAAAAGCUCGUAGUUGGAUUUCUGUUAAUAAUUUAUAUAUAAUAUUUGAUUAAUAUUUAUAUAAUAUUAACAUAAUUCAUAUUACUAAAUUUAUUAGUAUACGAAAUUUUACUUUGAGAAAAUUAGAGUGCUUAAAGCAGGCAUAUGCCUUGAAUACUCCAGCUUGGAAUAAUAUUAAAGAUUUUUAUCUUUCUUAUUGGUUCUAAGAUAAAAAUAAUGAUUAAUAGGGACAGUUGGGGGCAUUUGUAUUUAACAGUCAGAGGUGAAAUUCUUAGAUUUGUUAAAGACAAACUAAUGCGAAAGCAUUUGCCAAGGAUGUUUUCAUUAAUCAAGAACGAAAGUUAGGGGAUCGAAGACGAUCAGAUACCGUCGUAG